CAGCCGCCGCGGUAAUUCAGGGGGGGCAAGCGUUGUUCGGAAUUACUGAGCGUAAAGAGUGUGUAGGCGGUUCUCUAUGUUCGGUGUGAAAUCUCCCGGCUUAACUGGGAGGGUGCGCCGAAAACUGGAGGGCUUGAGUAUGGGAGAGGAAAGCGGAAUUCCUGGUGUAGCGGUGAAAUGCGUAGAUAUCAGGAGGAACACCUGCGGUGUAGACGGCUUUCUGGACCAUCACUGACGCUGAGACACGAAAGCGUGGGUAGCAAACAGGAUUAGAUACCCUGGUAGUCCACGCCCUAAACGAUGCAUACUUGGUGUGAGCCGUUCAUUCGGUUCGUGCCGGAGCUAACGCGUUAAGUAUGCCAGCUGGGGAGUACGGCCCCAGGCUGAAACUCAAGGAAUUGACGG
RNAcentral lists this ribosomal RNA (405 nucleotides) under uncultured soil bacterium. RNAcentral's name for it is "bacterial SSU rRNA". It matches the Rfam family "Bacterial small subunit ribosomal RNA", at positions 509 to 916 of the family's 1533-position model. The record is from RNAcentral.